RNAcentral lists this long non-coding RNA (429 nucleotides) under Capsicum annuum. RNAcentral describes it as "long non-coding RNA (CANN_LNC022142)". The record is from RNAcentral. Lineage: Eukaryota; Viridiplantae; Streptophyta; Magnoliopsida; Solanales; Solanaceae.
GAAUAACUAACCCAGCCAUUAAUAUUUAUAACUAUUAGCACUAUGUAAUAGAUGCUACUUGGAAACAAUAGAGCACCUAUUUCUCCAUUAAAGAGUUGCCAAAAAUGAAUGUUCCAAGUAUUUGUAGUGUUAUAUAGGUGAUGCCUCAGAAUGUGAGAUUUAUUACAAAGUUGGCAACAACAGGUUACUCCCAAAGAAAAUAAGCAGAUACGAAGGACUAUUCAUGGUGCAUAUUCGGUAAUAUGGCUAGAGAGGAACAAGACUUGGCUUGAAGGACAAAGAUCUCUUAAAUUUGGAGUCAAAAAUAGGUGUUCGCAAAAUUUGCUCGUCUGGUGUAGAAGUAGUUCAAUAGGUAGUUUGAACCAAUUAAUGAUAUCCUGGAUUUGUUAGGAAGGAAAGUCUAGUAGUCUGCUUUUUUCUAAAGCUUUC